AUUGAACGCUGGCGGCAUGCCUUACACAUGCAAGUCGAACGGUAACAGGUCUUCGGACGCUGACGAGUGGCGCACGGGUGAGUAAUACAUCGGAACGUGCCCGAUCGUGGGGGAUAACGAGGCGAAAGCUUUGCUAAUACCGCAUACGAUCUACGGAUGAAAGCGGGGGAUCUUCGGACCUCGCGCGGACGGAGCGGCCGAUGGCAGAUUAGGUAGUUGGUGGGAUAAAAGCUUACCAAGCCGACGAUCUGUAGCUGGUCUGAGAGGAUGAUCAGCCACACUGGGACUGAGGCACGGCCCAGACUCCUACGGGAGGCAGCAGUGGGGAAUUUUGGACAAUGGGCGAAAGCCUGAUCCAGCCAUGCCGCGUGCAGGAUGAAGGCCUUCGGGUUGUAAACUGCUUUUGUACGGAACGAAAAGCCUCUUUCUAAUAAAGAGGGGUCAUGACGGUACCGUAAGAAUAAGCACCGGCUAACUACGUG
RNAcentral lists this ribosomal RNA (482 nucleotides) under uncultured bacterium. RNAcentral describes it as "partial 16S ribosomal RNA". It matches the Rfam family "Bacterial small subunit ribosomal RNA", at positions 30 to 507 of the family's 1533-position model. The record is from RNAcentral.